This is a non-coding RNA of Cryptococcus sp. DSM 104548, 94 nucleotides long. The record is from the annotation of a GenBank genome assembly.
AGUCGUAUGGCUCAGUUGGUUAGAGUGUCCGCUUCACAUUUCCCCUUUUAUGUAAGGGCGCGGAAGGUCGAGAGUUCGAAACUCUCUACGACUA